CAUCUGACUAUUCCCUGCCUUUAUUUAUUUUGCCCACUGGAACCAGCUAUCUAUAGGGGUCCUUAAUGUACCAGGAUGACCUAAAAAAGUAAUACUGCAAAACAAGAAAAUGAAAGUGCACAACUCUCAACGAGGAGAGUCGGUGUUCCUCCUUUUCCUGUGAAAUGAAGCACACCUGGUAAAAGUGUUGCCCAUUCUGGGCCAGUGAUGAUCUGCAACCCUCUCAGUCUUUUGGAAUACUCAGUCCACUGCUGAGGCAGUCCUUGUGUCACCAACUUCAUGGCCGUGGGGUGGGAAGAAGCUGAUCUUCUGAGCUGUGGGCAGCUCUACCUGCCUACAGAGCUACAAGAUAGUGAAGUGCUGAUAAACUGAGGCUGCAACCAUGGGCUAAGUCUCCAGAGAAGAAAUGACACAUGAUAGACCAGUGUUGAAGCAAUUCUUCUUUUGACUGGGUUCUGAAAACCUCAUGGCCAUGGCUCUACUUCGAACUCUUCACUUCCAUUCCCCAAAGACAUCUCAGUUUAAGCAAAAAAAGACAACAAUGAAUAAGACAUUAGUAUACCAAAAGUCAUCCAGCGCCAUUAGAAUUAUGAUGAAUAAAGGAGACAUGGCUGAACUAGUCCAUGAAGUCAUGACAAAGGUAGUAUGGCUGCCUUUAUUUAAAGGUAAAUUCUUCUUUCUCAGAACAGAUCUGGAAAAAUUGUCAGCCCAUGCUAUCAAAGUAUCACUAUCACAGUGAAACUUGGGGACAUUAUGUUUCUGGCCUGAUUGUGCUCUUUUAGCAUUAUAUGGCCUUUGGGAGAAUCUCAGCACGCAGUGGGCAGCAGCGCCUCAGUGACUUUUGCUUCUUAUUCUCUGCUGCCAGCCCUGCUCUGACUACAGGGCUCAUCACUGCAGUCAUCUUCAGACAGAUACCUCAUUGUCUGACUUGGAAAUACCCACCUUAAAGCCUUUCAAGCUUUAAGGGCCUGAGUGUGGGGAAAUCCAAAGUCUAUUCACUCUCUUGGAUCACUGUUUGGGAUUUGUACAAAAGCAAAAGCAGUGUUCUUCCACCUUUGUUGCUUUCACAUUGUCUUUCACACCAAAUCCUUCUGGAAAAAGCAUCUGUUUUAAAUUUCUUGUGUUUUAUUGAGAGGUCUUUCACUGUGGUUUCUGUAGUAUUUCUGUUUCUAAAAGUGUAAGCCCAUGGUCUAACCCCAGAUGUGUUCAUGGUUUUUCUCCAAAUUAAGCUAUGAGUGCGUGGAAUAGUUCAGGAUAUUAUGCAUCUCAUAAUAGAUAAAUAUAUGGGAUUCCUGCCAAAUUAGAGUGGCUCAGAAGCUGCAGCGCCAGUAGAAGAAGUAAAUCAGUUAGGAAGGUAAUUACUGCCUCACACGAUAUGCAUUCAGAACUUGGUGCAUAGGCAAACAAGUUCAAGGAAUUGCACUCAUUUCCUUUGCUACUUUAUUUGAUUGUGCAGCAAUGGAGAGACAAUGAGUUAACUUCAUUUGCAUUAAAUUUAUGAUCUCUGUUUUUCAAACCUCAAACAGUCGCUGAGAUCAGGAAUAAGUAUAAAACAUCCUAUUUAGGUGUUUUAUUUGCAGUGCUAUUUUUCAUCAGUGAUUACUGCUGGCUAGAUCACAUUCCAUCAACAGAGUGUAAAAGUGACGGGUAAUAAGCAGAUGUUAAAGAAACAACCCUAAAGGUACCAUACAGGCUGGUUUUACUGUGUGAUGGCCAAUAGCUGAAAGACCAGAAAAAUGUUAGGACUAACAGAACUGGGGCUAGACCCCUGCUAAUAAUCUG
Long non-coding RNA from Lagopus muta (rock ptarmigan), 1782 nucleotides. RefSeq lists it as uncharacterized. Lineage: Eukaryota; Metazoa; Chordata; Aves; Galliformes; Phasianidae. The record is from RefSeq and is a predicted model, not a curated record. The transcript is spliced from 4 exons.